Non-coding RNA from Paramuricea clavata, 815 nucleotides. The record is from the annotation of a GenBank genome assembly. NCBI's taxonomy places the organism in Eukaryota, Metazoa, Cnidaria, Anthozoa, Malacalcyonacea, Plexauridae.
GUAUAGAAGAGAAGCUUUGGAAUAAAAACUUUUAUGCCUGGCGUUUUGGCUUUGGCUUUGACAAAAUCAGUUGCUCCUGACAACGACAAGUUCAUGUUCAGAUCAGAUCAAAAACAUAUAAAAAUGAAUCUGUUUUGAUUUAAUCAACGUUUUUCUACUAAAAGGUCAAUGAAAAGGGUAUGUUGUUUUUAUAUUUUUGUAUUUUUUCUUGUCGUUUCACGAUAAUAUGCUUGAAAAAAUUGUUUUUAAUUUAAACACAAACUUUUACUUUGUUUACAACAUUUAUAUCAGUGAAGAAUGUAUGACACAAAUGGGUAAAGAAUAUAUUCGUGACUUGUUUUCACUGCUGCAAAUAAAACUUUUUUAAAUGGGAAAACAUUUAUUUUACAAUAACUGUUUAAGCUGUAAUUUUUUCGCUUUUAAGUGGCCGAAUACAUGAGCAUUUAAAAAAUAUGUAGUUUUCUCGACGUAACUUUUAUACAUGUCGAAUAAUUUUCCGACUUUCAGUCGCAUUUCUAUCAAAAUAUUGUCAAUUCUGGUGAACAUCGUGCUUAGUAUGAAGCCUUUAGGGCUUGAUGCAAUUCAUUAUUGUAUUCUGACUAUCGUUAGGCUAUGUUUUUCAAACGUUUUUGGCAGAUUUUUUCUUUUAAAAAAUUGUUUCACUCCUCAGUUUUUGUCGCGAAAGCCAGAGCGGGCAGUUGCAUUUCACAGCGGGCAGUUGCGUUUCAGAGCGGGCCGGAUGCAAAAAACCGGCCCGCUCUGAAAGGCUCUCAGCCAAUCAGAUUGCUUCAUUUUCACUGAUAAAAAAUAAAUAU